CGCUAUCAUCCUACGGGAGGCAGCAGUGGGGAAUAUUGCACAAUGGGCGCAAGCCUGAUGCAGCCAUGCCGCGUGUGUGAAGAAGGCCUUCGGGUUGUAAAGCACUUUCAGUCGUGAGGAAGGUAGUGUAGUUAAUAGCUGCAUUAUUUGACGUUAGCGACAGAAGAAGCACCGGCUAACUCCGUGCCAGCAGCCGCGGUAAUACGGAGGGUGCGAGCGUUAAUCGGAAUUACUGGGCGUAAAGCGCAUGCAGGUGGUUUGUUAAGUCAGAUGUGAAAGCCCGGGGCUCAACCUCGGAAUAGCAUUUGAAACUGGCAGACUAGAGUACUGUAGAGGGGGUAGAAUUUCAGGUGUAGCGGUGAAAUGCGUAGAGAUCUGAAGGAAUACCGGUGGCGAAGGCGGCCCCCUGGACAGAUACUGACACUCAGAUGCGAAAGCGUGGGGAGCAAACAGGAUUAGAUACCCUGGUAG
RNAcentral lists this ribosomal RNA (471 nucleotides) under uncultured bacterium. Its description in RNAcentral is "bacterial SSU rRNA". It matches the Rfam family "Bacterial small subunit ribosomal RNA", at positions 329 to 793 of the family's 1533-position model. The record is from RNAcentral.